GCACGGUAUGUAAACAGCGUUGGAAAAAGAAAAAAAAACAAUUGAUGGCGUUCCCGCGAAGGGUAGUUGUCAUUCCUAAAAUCCAAAGCGGAAAAUGAAAAACGUGAGGGAGAAGGAGAGCAGUGGUAGUGGUGGUAGUAGAACAAGUGGAAGUAGAAUUUGAAGUGGUUUUUAUGUUGUUGAAUUCUUCUUUCUUUCUUAUUAUUAGGGUUGCGAGGCGAGGUGACGCUUGGCUUGGCUUUGCGGAAAUCUUCUUCUCUUCCGUUGGAAUCGGAAAAUUCUCUGUUGUCGAUUAUCAAGUGUUGAAGCAUGUCUGUCGAUCCUAGUGCACCCAUGACUUUUGUGGAUGAGGAUGCUUCUUCUGGCUCCGGAGAUGAUGUUAACACACUAGAUGGAAAGAAGCGUCAGUCUGGAAUGCCAUCUAGUUCAGGUCGUCGGAAGAGAAGCCGCAAGGCUACAGGUGAUGCUAUAGUAGACGCCAUGCUAGAAAUUGCUGCUGCUUCAAAAAUGAGGGCAGCGGCAAUUAUGAAGAAUGAGGAUCGGUUUUCCAUAAGCAAAUGCAUAAAGGUUUUGGAUGAGAUGCAAGAUAUGUCAGCUGGCUUGGAUGAUUUCGACUUAGAAUUGGAUGAGAUGGAAUUAAUUGCAGCAGCUGCUGGGUACUAUUACUAUAAAAGUAUAACUAGGCAACCUGUUCAUAGUUUGUCACCUCGUGGAGGAUGUGGGUUCAUGACUGAGGUACUUAAUGGUCAUGAUGAACUCUGUCGAGAGAUGUUUCGGAUGGAUAAACAUGUUUUUCACAAGUUGAGUGACAUUCUUCGUCAAAGAGGCAUGCUACGUGAUACUGCUGGUGUUAUGAUAGAGGAGCAACUGGCUAUUUUUCUGAAUAUUGUUGGCCAUAAUGAGCGCAAUAGAGUAAUUCAAGAACGGUUUCAACACUCGGGUGAAACCAUUAGCCGGCAUUUCAAUAAUGUGUUGAAGGCAAUCAAGUCAUUGUCACGUGAAUUCUUACAACCACCACCCUUCACUACCCAUCAAGAAAUCCUUAAAAAUCACAGGUUUUAUCCAUAUUUUCAGGAUUGCAUUGGGGUUAUUGAUGGAAUGCACAUUCCUGCCCAUCUCCCAGCUAAAGAUCAAUCCCGUUUCCGUAACCGGAAUGGUGUCCUCUCACAAAAUGUGUUGGCAGCUUGCACAUUCGACCUAAAGUUUAUAUUUAUUUAUCCUGGUUGGGAAGGUUCAGCUGCUGAUUCACGUGUAUUAAGGGCGGUCCUCGAUGAUCCUGAUCAAAAUUUCCCACAGAUUCCAGAAGGCAAAUAUUAUCUUGUUGACACGGGAUACUCAAAUAUGGAAGGAUUUCUUGCUCCAUAUCAAGGAGUGCGGUAUCACCUUCAUGAAUAUAGAGGUGCCAAUCAGCUACCCAGAAAUGCAAAGGAGCUAUUUAAUCAUAGGCAUUCAUCUCUAAGGAAUGUCAUCCAGAAGUCUUUUCAUGUGUUAAAGACUCGGUUUCCUAUUCUCAAACUUGCUCCUCAAUAUGCCUUUCACAUUCAAAGGGAUAUAGUUAUCGCUGCAUGUGUUAUACAUAAUUACAUCCGCUAUGAGGAAGAAAAGGAUUGGUUGUUUUCUAGCAUGGAAGGGAUGACAGUAGAUGAAUUGCCUGAUCUUGAUGAACAGCCUGAUAUCCACUUGGUUUCUACAGUGCAAGAACAAGUUGCCUUCUCAAUGAGAGAUUCAAUUGCAGCGGCAAUGUGGGAUGACUUCAUAAAUAAAUGGGAAGAGUGGUGAGUGUUUGCAGCAGCAGAAUCAAUCAAUGGUGCGUCCUUUGAAAAAUUUUGUGAUGGCUUACAAGUUUGUGGAUACUGGAUUUAAUGGGCAAGGCCUUGUGAUAUCCUUGUUGGACUGAAAACGUUGACUUAUCACUUUCUAUAUCCGUAUAUAUAUAUAUAUAUAUAUAUAUAUAUAUAUAUAUAUAUAUAUAUUUCAUUUAAUCUACUAUCUUCUUCUCAACACUUUUUGCUGACAAAAGGAAAGAAAGAUGAUGUUCUUGUCAUGUGUUGUACUGCUGUUGCUGCUACGCUGCAAACAAUAAAGCACUGGAAGAUGCUGCCACACAAGUAGAACUUUCAUUGAUGCCUGUUGGGUUAGGACAUAUUAUUUUGUUGGAAAGAUGGUUUGAGAAGCAUACAUAGCUGGUUGCUCUUGAUUGUUCGAUGGAGUUCCAAACCAUGUAUCCAUCAAACUACCCUGCUUCGAUCUUUAUGUGGAGAUACCUCAUUCAUGGUAUGGCAUCAACGAGUGGUUUGGCAAGGAAAGGUGUGGAACUGGUUUGGUGGCCUGAAAGAGCGGGACCAACUGGCAUGCCAUGCGGCGAUGUCAAGGUGUACUUAGAGCCCGUGUGGGCGUAGGGUGGGUAAGCAAUCCCAAAUUCCCAAUCGCAAUCACUCACUUUCCAGAUAGGAGUGAUAAUCUGAUGCAUUGGUGUGGUGGAAGCAACCAACAACCAGUCAGCUUUCAUUUUAUUAUUCAAUAAAUGGUAGAGGCUGAGGGUCUUAAGGCAUUCUAACUUGCUUCAUUUAGGGAUCAAUUGACUUGGUGUUGGAUUUGAACUUCAGACUUCUUCAUUGCUCAACCCCUUUCUUUUUCUUUUUUUUGGUUUUUGUUUGAGUUUAUGAGUUUGUUUGCCUUCCUUUCAGAUUUUCAAACUGUCCUCAUAGCCGACUACCUUUGUUUUAAAUAACUCAUAACCCUGACAAGUCAGAGGUCUUAAGCAUCAUAUAGUAAUAACAGUAAUUGAUUAUUGAUUAUUAUAAGUAAAACCUUUAUUACAUAAUUAUUUUA
RNA transcript from Ziziphus jujuba (common jujube), 2832 nucleotides. RefSeq lists it as uncharacterized. Lineage: Eukaryota; Viridiplantae; Streptophyta; Magnoliopsida; Rosales; Rhamnaceae. The record is from RefSeq and is a predicted model, not a curated record. The transcript has 8 exons.